AGCACUUGUGUGUGUGUUUUUUGUUUAAUUUGUGAGCAAAGACUUACAGACAGGUGUAUAACAAUAAAUCCUGUUUUGCAACUCAGAAUUCAUUGUCCAGAAAUUUUAUUGUGGAGGGGACAAU
RNAcentral lists this small nucleolar RNA (124 nucleotides) under Heterocephalus glaber (naked mole-rat). Its description in RNAcentral is "Small nucleolar RNA SNORA40". It matches the Rfam family "Small nucleolar RNA SNORA40". From Rfam's summary of the family: The snoRNA ACA 40 belongs to the H/ACA family of snoRNAs and guides the pseudouridylation of 28S rRNA subunit at position U4565. NB This family has a high threshold value to exclude a large number of closely related sequences that do not appear to have conserved H and ACA boxes, and may be pseudogenes. The record is from Rfam by way of RNAcentral. Lineage: Eukaryota; Metazoa; Chordata; Mammalia; Rodentia; Bathyergidae.